This 71-nucleotide transfer RNA is filed under the name Camelus dromedarius (Arabian camel). It matches the Rfam family "tRNA". Rfam says of the family: Transfer RNA (tRNA) molecules are approximately 80 nucleotides in length. Their secondary structure includes four short double-helical elements and three loops (D, anti-codon, and T loops). Further hydrogen bonds mediate the characteristic L-shaped molecular structure. tRNAs have two regions of fundamental functional importance: the anti-codon, which is responsible for specific mRNA codon recognition, and the 3' end, to which the tRNAs corresponding amino acid is attached (by aminoacyl-tRNA synthetases). tRNAs cope with the degeneracy of the genetic code in two manners: having more than one tRNA (with a specific anti-codon) for a particular amino acid; and 'wobble' base-pairing, i.e. permitting non-standard base-pairing at the 3rd anti-codon position. RNAcentral also lists the same sequence under 1 other name. The record is from Rfam by way of RNAcentral. Lineage: Eukaryota; Metazoa; Chordata; Mammalia; Artiodactyla; Camelidae.
AGGUAUACAGCUCAGCGGUAGAGCGCAUGCUUAGCAUGCAUGAGGUCCUGGGUUUGACCCCCCCAGUACCU